Molecule: ribosomal RNA, 932 nt
Filed under: marine metagenome
Description: bacterial SSU rRNA
Rfam family: Bacterial small subunit ribosomal RNA
Source: RNAcentral
GGAAACUUGUGCUAAUACCUCAUAAGUCUUUACGGAGAAAGCUUUAUGCGCCAAUGGAUGAGCCUGCACUUGAUUAGUUAGUUGGUGGGGUAAAGGCCUACCAAGACUUUGAUCAAUAGCUGAUUUGAGAGGAUGAUCAGCCACAUUGGGACUGAGACACGGCCCAAACUCCUACGGGAGGCAGCAGUAAGGAAUCUUGCACAAUGGAGGAAACUCUGAUGCAGCGAUGCCGCGUGAGUGAAGAAGGCCUUUGGGUUGUAAAGCUCUUUCGUCGGGGAAGAAAAUGACUGUACCCGAAUAAGAAGGUCCGGCUAACUUCGUGCCAGCAGCCGCGGUAAUACGAAGGGACCUAGCGUAGUUCGGAAUUACUGGGCUUAAAGAGUUCGUAGGUGGUUAAAAAAGUUGGUGGUGAAAUCCCAGAGCUUAACUCUGGAACUGCCAUCAAAACUUUUUAGCUAGAGUUUGAUAGAGGAAAGCAGAAUUUCUAGUGUAGAGGUGAAAUUCGUAGAUAUUAGAAAGAAUACCAAUUGCGAAGGCAGCUUUCUGGAUCAUUACUGACACUGAGGAACGAAAGCAUGGGUAGCGAAGAGGAUUAGAUACCCUCGUAGUCCAUGCCGUAAACGAUGUGUGUUAGACGUUGGAAAUUUAUUUUCAGUGUCGCAGCGAAAGCGAUAAACACACCGCCUGGGGAGUACGACCGCAAGGUUAAAACUCAAAUGAAUUGACGGGGACCCGCACAAGUAGUGGAGCAUGUGGUUUAAUUCGAAGAUACGCGCAGAACCUUACCAACACUUGACAUGUUCGUCGCGACCUUAAGAGAUUAAGGUUUUCGGUUCGGCCGGACGAAACACAGGUGCUGCAUGGCUGUCGUCAGCUCGUGUCGUGAGAUGUUGGGUUAAGUCCCGCAACGAGCGCAACCCUCACUUUUAGUU